Molecule: long non-coding RNA, 261 nt
Organism: Bactrocera neohumeralis
Lineage: Eukaryota; Metazoa; Arthropoda; Insecta; Diptera; Tephritidae
Exons: 2
Source: RefSeq, a predicted model, not a curated record
UCACAUGGUAAUGUUUUGUUCAACAUUCAUCGAAUGUAAUUGCAAAAUGGACUGCUAAAACCCAGAUACCACACGAGGAUGAAAAAUAGAUGUUGUCCGAUUCUCCACCAUAGCCGAUAUGCACGCUAAGAUUCACGAAAAUCGGCCGAGCGGUUUCAGAGGAGUUCAAUAACGUACACCGUGUAUUUUAUAUAUUAGAUGUAUCAUUCUUAUUACAUAUUCAAAAUAAAUAAUUAAAAAAUUGAUGAAGUCAAAGUUCGC